RNAcentral lists this RNase P RNA (328 nucleotides) under Christiangramia fulva. RNAcentral describes it as "Bacterial RNase P class A". It matches the Rfam family "Bacterial RNase P class A". Rfam says of the family: Ribonuclease P (RNase P) is a ubiquitous endoribonuclease, found in archaea, bacteria and eukarya as well as chloroplasts and mitochondria. Its best characterised activity is the generation of mature 5'-ends of tRNAs by cleaving the 5'-leader elements of precursor-tRNAs. The record is from Rfam by way of RNAcentral. Lineage: Bacteria; Pseudomonadati; Bacteroidota; Flavobacteriia; Flavobacteriales; Flavobacteriaceae.
GCAGCAGGCCGCUUUGUCGCUCUGAUCACCUCAGGGUUAUCGGGGAGGAAAGUCCGGACACCACAGGGCAGCAUAGUGGGUAACACCCAUCGUCCCGCCCCGGCGGGACAGGACCAGUGCAACAGAAAGGAUGUACAGGUAAUGCUGUAGUGAAAUCAGGUAAACUCUAUGCGGUGCAAUGCCAUGUAUACCGGUUUUGUCGGGCGGCCCGUCCGCACGCCGGAGGGUAGGCAGCUAAAGAUUUGUGGCAACACAAAUCUCAGAUAAAUGACAAAGAUUCUGGUCACUUACCAGAAUACAGAAUCCGGCUUACAGGCCUGCUUUUUUA